AAGAAUUAUGGAGGUAUUUUCUUCAUCUGUGAAUUGAAUAAAUAUGUGUUCCUCCACAACACGAAGAUGGAUAAGAUUGCUUAUCUUAGUAACUUGAAAUAUGUCACACUGAAGUAUAAAUUAUUAUUUGAAGAGAGCAGUAUUUUCAAGAGGAUAUAAUUUUAUGCAUACAACAAGAAUUGCGGUCCUUUAAAAUGUCCCUUUUCUUUGAUUUUUUAUUAUAUUCUGCCUUAGGAUAAGAAAAAUGGAUUUACUUGCAUAGGUGUUCAUUAAUAGGGGAGAAAAAAGCUUUUAUUUAAAGGUAAAAUUCAGCUCAUGUUAGAGAAGGCUAUAAAUGUAUACCAAAAAAAAGUACACACACACACACACACACAACCUAUCAGAACACUCACUUUCUGCUUUGGGUUUUAUUCAAAACACAGCUUUCCACUGAUUAUUGUUUCCCCUUUGGUCAGCCCCCUCAUUACUGCCUGCAAAUCUUCACCCAUUCAUUACAAAGUUACCAAGUUAUUCUUUUCUCCUUAUCCUCGAACAUUAUUAUUCCCCUUAUUCUGGUUACUGGAAGGUACACACGCCAUGGCAGGUGGCAGGCCAAACUCCUAAUCGAAUGUACGGAUUACACAACAAAUACGGGCAAGGUAAGUAAGGAAAGUUCAGUGCCUGUGUCUUCUGCUUGCUGUAUGUGUCAGCUUUCUGCUUCCCACGCAGGCAGGUCACGGUGCUGGUACACCCUCUGUCACUCUCCUAAUUAAACAUGGCUUUCUGGGAGGAGAUCCCUUCACUUGGCACCUCUGGAAAGUGUUUUGGUCCCCUGCCCCCAUUAUGCAGUCAUUGGCUGCCUGCUUACCCACCCUUUCACCAGGGAACCUACGCACGCCUUCCCUCCCAAACAUGCCCUUUGCUUCAGAGCUCCUCUGGACCCCCUUUAGUUCAUCCUGCCCGUGCCACCCAAAUCCCCACGGAGCUCUACCUGUAUCUCGACCAGUCAUGACAGCGUAACAGUCUGCAAUUACCCACCCUUAACCAUGAGUCACCAACAGCAACCUUCCUUGUCUUUCUUCCUCCCCGCCUCUUACAAUCUACCCAGAAACGUCUGCUGCUUUAAGCACAUCUCUAAUUGCUGGAAUUUUAGGAAGAGUUGGCAAGAUACUUGGGGUGGGGAUGAGUGAGGAGUGUCACUUGGACUUCUCCCCUAAAUUUUAUCACCAGUUUUCUCUUCAUAGGAACAGAGUUUGUUCUGGGAACAUGUAUGAAGGACUAGUUCCCUUCCUUCCACAGGGAAACUUCUGCGAAGACAUUUUGAAGGCCCCUGAACAAAUGAUUCCCAGCAAAGUGGCACAUCCCUGAAAACUUGAGGAUAAUGGGAGGUGGUUUUCUCCUCAGACCCGUGCCCUGCUGGAGAGGAGAGCCAUAGUGAGGAAGGUUUAGCUGAAACUACUCUGACUCGGCUUCACAGUUCUGCUCUUCUUAGCCCACUAAAGGAGAAUGUGAAGAAAUAACAGACGAGUGGGGACCGCCUCAUAUCAAGCAGGCCUCAACCCUUACCUCAUUAUGGUUCCCCCAUCCUGACAGUGAAGGAUGGUGGAGAAGGGGGGGAGGGCUUGAGAGAGACAGGCGUGCCAUGUGCAGAUACAAGAGUCUGCAGAGAAGUUUCUAUCCUCCGUUUACUAUUUCCCCUCUCACUCCUUCCCCACAAAAGUUUAGUUGCUUGUGACACGUUAAAAAAAAAAAAAGCAACAUCCAGAUUUCAGAAAGUGGAGGCACUUAGAACUAUGCCGUGUUAUUCUCCUAUUAGACAAACAAUUUCACAGAAUACCGACCUCACACAAGUUUAAUCUCAGACUGUAAUAAAAUGAGACAGAGCAAGGCCACUUUUUCAUUUUGGCCAAGCACACAUAAAAACAAGGUCACUGUGCAACCCAUAAAAUAUCAAACAUCCUUCUCUCCUGUUGCCGGAAUGACUGCUAUUCUUUACCCAAGUAUGGAUAUGUGCUUGCUUUCUGACAACAUCCAAUAUGGAGAAAAUCUCCGUUUUCUUAGACCUUCUGCCAGGUCACUCAGCUAAAUCCUGAGUUCUGUCAUAGGCUCUUGCUGACAACCCUUUUACUGAGCAACCUCACAGUUUCUCAUGCUGGGCAUUUUCCCUUGCUGGAACCCGUAAUAAACCCAACCCAGUUAACUGUAGGUGCGUUCCCAGUAGUCUUCGGGGCAUUGACACCUGUGUAAAGACACUACUGAGCAUUCGGGAAAUUUUUAUUGAGCACCUUCUAUAAACCAGGUUCCCACCCUAAGUCCUAGGAAUACUGGUCAAAGCAAACAAAAACCCCUGUCCUACAAGGCUUGAAUCUUUGCAGGGGAGACAGACAAUAAACAAGAUGAGUAAAUAAAGUAGAUAGUAGCUUGGAAGGUGGUAACGGCAGAGAAAAAAAAUAAAGCAGGAUUCAUUUUAGAUGGGAAGGCUUCACUGAUCUGAAAGAGAAAAGGAGUAAGCCUGGAAGUUUGGGAAAGCAUGGGAGGAACACAAAUGCAAAGGCCCUGAAGCAGGAGGAUCUCCGCCCUGUUUGAAACACUUCAAACAACCCGGUGACUGGAUAAAAGAGAGAGCAUUGCCCAUAAUCAUCAAGUUUGGAAUCGAAUGUCCAUUAUUCAGAAGUUGUGAAACUGUGGACUUCUACCCAAUGGAAUAUUAUGCAACUAUACAAAGAAUGAGAUUGUUUCUACAUAUUGACAUGGAUAUUCACCAGAUGCCAUAAUUAUUCUUUAAGGUGCAUCCAAAGUCAUUGUGUGAUCCUGGGCUCUCAUUGACUCCUGCCUUCAGGAGCCUGCAUGUUCUGGAUACAAGAGCUGUGAGGCUUCUCUCUGGUCACACUGGCAUCCUCAAGGUCCCUGCAACAGAGCAGGCAACAGAUCAGACUCUCUCAGAGACUUUGCUCCAGCUCCGUGGUUCUCAAAGGAUGACCCAGGGAUCUCUGGUUUUUAAAAUUACAUGUGCAAAAAUCUUUGUAAAACUAUAAUGAAGCCCGUAAACAAAUGAAAGAACUUUAACACACGCAUGAAAGUUCCUCUUCAGGAUCUUAAAGAAUUGGCCUUCUGACACUGAAGUGUCCUCACCCAUGUCAUAAAGUCAUACUUACGAGAAUCACAGACUAACACCAUCUUGGACAAAUCCACUGUGAUAAUGACUGCUCUAUGACCUGAAGCCUUCCGAGCACAGCACCGCCCCCACCCCAUUCUUUUCUUCUGUUUAACCACACCCUUAAGUACACACUUAAAGCAUAAUGUCCUUGAUCUACUCUGCAGAUAUGACUAUGACACACACCUAUUCUCAAACAUUCCCCUCUAAGGUGGUCCCCCCAGUAUGUACUCACUAGGGCUAUAAAAGCAUGUCUUAUGGGAGGUGGGGUUGUGGAGAUCUCCUCUUGUGGCCAUGAAAGACACGCUUCUGUUUGUAAGUCUUCUUAAUAAACUAUUUCUUAUCAAGCGGGACUUCUCAGCCUUUGUCUUUGGUCUUACAGCUCCUUCCACCUUUGGAAAUCACCUUACAUAUACCUCCCUUUCGAGGGAGCACCGAUGCAUUAUGUGUUAUAGCACCUAAUGCAAUCAUCUGUGCUCUACCACUAGAUUAACUCCACUAACAUUUAUAUACUUUUGGAAAUGUGGCAAGAACUAACCAAAAAUACUUAUAUAACCAAAAAUAUUUAUAU
Long non-coding RNA from Felis catus (domestic cat), 3704 nucleotides. RefSeq lists it as uncharacterized. Lineage: Eukaryota; Metazoa; Chordata; Mammalia; Carnivora; Felidae. The record is from RefSeq and is a predicted model, not a curated record. The transcript has 7 exons.